GAUGAACGCUGGCGGCGUGCCUAAUACAUGCAAGUCGAGCGAACAGACGAGGAGCUUGCUCCUCUGACGUUAGCGGCGGACGGGUGAGUAACACGUGGAUAACCUACCUAUAAGACUGGGAUAACUUCGGGAAACCGGAGCUAAUACCGGAUAAUAUAUUGAACCGCAUGGUUCAAUAGUGAAAGACGGUUUUGCUGUCACUUAUAGAUGGAUGCGCGCCGCAUUAGCUAGUUGGUAAGGUAACGGCUUACCAAGGCAACGAUGCGUAGCCGACCUGAGAGGGUGAUCGGCCACACUGGAACUGAGACACGGUCCAGACUCCUACGGGAGGCAGCAGUAGGGAAUCUUCCGCAAUGGGCGAAAGCUUGACGGAGCAACGCCGCGUGAGUGAUGAAGGUCUUCGGAUCGUAAAACUCUGUUAUUAGGGAAGAACAAAUGUGUAAGUAACUAUGCACGUCUUGACGGUACCUAAUCAGAAAGCCACGGCUAACUACGUG
RNAcentral lists this ribosomal RNA (497 nucleotides) under uncultured bacterium. Its description in RNAcentral is "partial 16S ribosomal RNA". It matches the Rfam family "Bacterial small subunit ribosomal RNA", at positions 28 to 507 of the family's 1533-position model. The record is from RNAcentral.